RNAcentral lists this ribosomal RNA (414 nucleotides) under uncultured prokaryote. Its description in RNAcentral is "partial 16S ribosomal RNA". The stretch from base 1 to 178 matches the Rfam family "Bacterial small subunit ribosomal RNA", at positions 355 to 536 of the family's 1533-position model. The record is from RNAcentral.
UGGGGAAUCUUGCGCAAUGGGCGAAAGCCUGACGCAGCAACGCCGCGUGUGUGAUGAAGGUCUUCGGAUCGUAAAGCACUGUCGCGAGGUCGCCUUAUUCUGCACGCCAAGGCUCAAGACACGAUUUUGAGUCUUGCCGCGAGCGCCGGCAGCGUGGCGGAUCUAGAGCUCGAGGACGUAAUGAAGGUUGGCUACCAGGACAUUCGCUGCGUUGAGUCCGGUGGCCCUGAGCCAGGUGUCGGCUGCGCCGGCCGCAGUGUCAUCACCUCGAUCAAUUUUCUUGAAGAGAACGGAGCCUACGAGAACAUUGACUAUGUUUCUUACGAUGUGCUUGGCGACGUUGUUUGCGGUGGCUUUGCGAUGCCAAUCCGCGAAAACAAGGCGCAGGAGAUCUACAUCGUGAUGUCUGGUGAA